GCAGACAUAUUAUAAUAAAUCUAAGAUACAAUUUUAUACUUAAUACAUUGAUUUGAUUAAUAAAAGGACAAGUUUGAUUUUCAUUCAAAAGUGAUGUAUCUUUGAGUCAUCCUUGGAAUUAAUACUUUGAUAUAUAUUCUUAAAGUGUUGAGAAUUAAAGGCAUGUAUAAAAUUUCUAAAUACUUUCAGUCAUAGUAUCAUUAUGAGAAUGGUGAUCGAUUCAGAU
This 226-nucleotide long non-coding RNA is filed under the name Elaeis guineensis (African oil palm). RNAcentral describes it as "long non-coding RNA (EGUI_LNC075849)". The record is from RNAcentral. Lineage: Eukaryota; Viridiplantae; Streptophyta; Magnoliopsida; Arecales; Arecaceae.